ACGCUCGACACCUACGGGAGGCAGCAGUGGGGAAUAUUGCACAAUGGGGGAAACCCGUGAUGCAGCGACGCCGCGUGAGCGAAGAAGUAUUUCGGUAUGUAAAGCUCUAUCAGCAGGGAAGAAAGUGACGGUACCUGACUAAGAAGCCCCGGCUAACUACGUGCUAGCAGCCGCGGUAAUCUGAGCGGGCUGGCAAGGC
This 199-nucleotide ribosomal RNA is filed under the name uncultured bacterium. Its description in RNAcentral is "partial 16S ribosomal RNA". It matches the Rfam family "Bacterial small subunit ribosomal RNA", at positions 328 to 539 of the family's 1533-position model. The record is from RNAcentral.